Molecule: RNase P RNA, 395 nt
Filed under: Candidatus Dormiibacterota bacterium
Lineage: Bacteria; Bacillati; Candidatus Dormiibacterota
Description: RNase P RNA component class A
Rfam family: Bacterial RNase P class A
About the family: Ribonuclease P (RNase P) is a ubiquitous endoribonuclease, found in archaea, bacteria and eukarya as well as chloroplasts and mitochondria. Its best characterised activity is the generation of mature 5'-ends of tRNAs by cleaving the 5'-leader elements of precursor-tRNAs.
Source: RNAcentral
GGUGGCGGGCAGGUGGCCGCGGCCGGAGCUUCCGGUCGAGGAAAGUCCGAGCUCCGAAGAGCAGGGCGCCGGGUAACGCCCGGCGAGGGAAACCUCAGGGAGAGUGCCACAGAAAGACACGGCCGGCGGGGUUCCCGCCGGCAAAGGUGAAAUGGUGGGGUAAGAGCCCACCGGCAGCCGGGUGACCGGCUGGCCAGGUAAACCCCGCCCGGAGCAAGACCCAGCAGAGCCUCGGUGCCGGCACCGCCGGACUGCUCGUCCGGAACGGCUCGGGUGGGUCGCUGGAGGCGGCGGGAGACCGCCGUCCUAGAUGGAUGGCCAUCGCCCCUCGGGGGGAGCCCCGCCGUGCGGGAGGCCCGAGGGGGCACAGAACUCGGCUUAUCGCCCGCCCAACC